CCGACCUUAGCUCAGUUGGUAGAGCGUGAGACUGUAAUGGUUGCUAUAUCUCAAUGUCACCUGUUCGAUCCAGGUAGGUCGGA
Non-coding RNA from Termitomyces sp. T159_Od127, 83 nucleotides. Lineage: Eukaryota; Fungi; Basidiomycota; Agaricomycetes; Agaricales; Lyophyllaceae. The record is from the annotation of a GenBank genome assembly.